GUCAGGCAUGAGAGGUUACACUAUCGACACUGGUUUGGAGAUCGAUUGGGAAGAUGUACCGAGCUCCAGAGACAAUGCAUCACACAGUAAAAAUCUGAAGAAAAAACCAUUUGGUUUUGUUGAGCUUUCUUCCCUCACGAGGAACAUAAGCGACGGAAACAUUGUUAAAAUGUUUGAGGUUUUUCUAAACGAGCUGAAAGAUUCAACCUCCAUCAGUAUGACCCUGGAACAAGAUCUUUGAUUUGCUGCUGAGCAAGAACAAAGACAGCCAGGGCCUGGUAAUGGAAGUCAUUCUUUUCUGGCAGAACAUACCUGAAGAUUUCUCUCCCAGUCAGACUGUCUAAAAUCUGAAAUCCUUAAUUGGUAUAAUGGGUAACUGUUUAUGUAGGUUAUUUGAGAGAACAACUCAAAAAUGUAUUUUGAGAAAUAUUACAGAUCUUAUAUUGCAAAUUAUUGAAAGGAAAUUAAAUAAUUCUUCACUCUACACAUCCCAAACUUUUGUUAAGGUUGAAUGUGUGCAACAAAUGAAGGAAAUCUUGGAUCGUGUCUGUAUGACUCAAAAAUGGCUUGAUAUCGUUAGAAGUAGAUGGACUGUUACAAAAAUAUUUGUCUAAAGUUUUAUGUAUUUACUUUGAACUUUGAACCACCGAUGACAUGUAAUGUGAAUCAUCUAAUUUGUUUGUAUGUAUAUAUAAUCAAUCUGUGU
Molecule: long non-coding RNA, 706 nt
Organism: Esox lucius (northern pike)
Lineage: Eukaryota; Metazoa; Chordata; Actinopteri; Esociformes; Esocidae
Exons: 2
Source: RefSeq, a predicted model, not a curated record